This 292-nucleotide ribosomal RNA is filed under the name uncultured bacterium. RNAcentral's name for it is "partial 16S ribosomal RNA". It matches the Rfam family "Bacterial small subunit ribosomal RNA", at positions 505 to 796 of the family's 1533-position model. The record is from RNAcentral.
GUGCCAGCCGCCGCGGUAAUACGAAGGGGGCUAGCGUUGCUCGGAAUUACUGGGCGUAAAGCGCACGUAGGCGGCUCUUUAAGUCGGGGGUGAAAUCCUGGAGCUCAACUCCAGAACUGCCUUCGAUACUGUAGAGCUUGAGUUCGGGAGAGGUGAGUGGAACUGCGAGUGUAGAGGUGAAAUUCGUAGAUAUUCGCAAGAACACCAGUGGCGAAGGCGGCUCACUGGCCCGAUACUGACGCUGAGGUGCGAAAGCGUGGGGAGCAAACAGGAUUAGAAACCCUCGUAGUCC